RNAcentral lists this ribosomal RNA (459 nucleotides) under uncultured bacterium. RNAcentral describes it as "partial 16S ribosomal RNA". It matches the Rfam family "Bacterial small subunit ribosomal RNA", at positions 338 to 795 of the family's 1533-position model. The record is from RNAcentral.
CCUACGUGAGACUGCAGUGAGGAAUAUUGGUCAAUGGGCCGGAGCCUGAACCAGCCAAGUCGCGUGAAGGAAGAAGGUACUUAGUAUUGUAAACUUCUUUUGUCGGGGAACAAAGGCGGAGACGCGUCUCCGGAUGAGUGUACCCGAAGAAAAAGAAUCGGCUAACUCCGUGCCAGCAGCCGCGGUAAUACGGAGGAUGCGAGCGUUAUCCGGAUUUAUUGGGUUUAAAGGGUGCGCAGUCGGGGUAUCAAGUCAGCGGUAAAAUGUCGUGGCUCAACCCCGGCCGGCCGUUGAAACUGGUUUUCUAGAGUUGGAGAGAAGUAUGAUGAAUUCGUGGUGUAGCGGUGAAAUGCAUAGAUAUCACGAAGAACUCCGAUUGCGAAGGCAGCAUACCGGCUCCAUACUGACGCUGAGGCACGAAAGCGUGGGGAUCGAACAGGAUUAGAUACCCUUGUAGUC